This 633-nucleotide long non-coding RNA is filed under the name Drosophila guanche. Lineage: Eukaryota; Metazoa; Arthropoda; Insecta; Diptera; Drosophilidae. The record is from RNAcentral.
GCGAUAUAAAAAUCAGCUGAUCGAAUUCUGUAAGUGUUGCAUAACUUCAUGAUUGGGGUGAGCUCGAAAAGCACAUUUUCACGAAUGGACGUUGCCUAACACUUGACUCUACAAAGCAACUCUAUUGGGAACAAACCUCUGAUUUCUUUUGCCAACUACAAUUAAAGCACGAUUCAGUAAAUAUGAAUGCUCAGAACGAAGAAAAUUCAUCUGGAUCCAUCCAACAAGACGGUAAUCGCAAUCCAGAAGAAGGUAAGUGUCAGUUAAUGUGGUGUGUCCAUUUCGUAAUUUUCUGUAUCUUGCAAUGGUAGGCGGAGAAGUUGCAUCGGAUGGUGCACAACCGGCAGAGGCAGAGGCAGAGGCAGAGGCAGGCCCACAAAUUGCUGCUGAUGCCAACAGAAAUGCCGUUCCGCCUAUCCGGUAUAGGGUCAUUGGCACGCGGCCACAGACAUUUCCCGAGAUGAUUAUGAGGCUAUUUCACCGCCGGACUCAAAGAGCUUACUUGACAUUUCGUUUCUGGUACUAGAGGACGGAUGGAGAUGGCGGGACGUACACUGACGGCUGCAAACAAAACUUAAACUCCUCCACGCUCUGUUGAAAAAUUAUCAUUAAACUCAAAGCUGUUUAACCAUU